Kogia breviceps (pygmy sperm whale) is the source of this 2131-nucleotide non-coding RNA. Lineage: Eukaryota; Metazoa; Chordata; Mammalia; Artiodactyla; Physeteridae. The record is from RefSeq and is a predicted model, not a curated record.
AUCUAAGACCUAAGAUGGCGGCGUUUGCAUGGGGUGUAAGCGCUGCAGGCGUACCAGAUAUGGAAAGGCGGCCAAAGGACGAAUCUACUAAGGAGUGUCCAAGAACUCGCCGAUAUUUGUGUUGUGAUUUUUAAAAACUUUAAACAGUACAGUCGAAGACCCUCUUCAUCACACGCCACAAUGGUCUUCCUAUGAAUUACAAUGUUCAUUCUUAUGAAGAACCGAAAAAAUGUAACACAUUCUCUAGAGAAAAGAAAAUUCUAACUCUAAGGCCUGUCUAUUUCCUGAGAAACAACAACAAUGAAGUUAGGCCAGUGGAUAUCCUACAGUGGCCUCUAAGUGUUCAAGUGAAAGGAAGACUUGCACAUCUCUCACUUUAAAUCAAAAGCUAGAAAUGAUCAAGCUUAGUGGGGAAGGCAUGUUGAAUGCCUACACAGGCCAAAAACUAGGCCUUUUGUGCCAGUUAGCCAAAUUGUGAAUACAAAGGAAAAAUUCUUGAAGGAAAUGAAAAGUGCUUCUCCAGUGAACACAUAAAUGAUAAAGCAAAACAGCCUUAUUGCUGAUACUGAGACAGUUUUAGCAGUCUGGAUAGACGAACAGACCAGCCUCAACAUUCUCUUAAGCCAAAGCCUAAUCCAGGGCAAGGCCCUAGCUCUCUUCAAUUCUAUGAAGGUUGACAGAGAUGAGGAAGCUGCAGAAGAAAAGUUUGAAGCUAGCAGAGGUUCGUUCAUGAAGUUUAAGGAAAGAAGCCAUCUCCAUAACAUAAAAAUGCAAGGUGAAGCAAUAAGUGCUGAUGUAGAAGCUGCAGCAAAUUAUUCAGAAGAUCUAACUAAGAUAAUGAAGGUGGCCACACUAAACAACAGAUCUUCAGUGCAGACAAAACAGCCUUCUAUUGGAAGAAGUACAUCUAGGACAUUCAUAGCUACAGAGGAGGAGUCAAUUCCUGGCUUCAGAGGACAGGCUGACUCUUGUCAGGCUAAUGCAACUGGUAACUUUGAGUUCAAGGCAGUUGUCAUUUACCAUUCUGAAAAUCCUAGGAUUCUUAAUAAUUAUGCUAAAUCUACUCUGCCUGUGCUCCACAAAUGGAACAACAAAGCCUGGAUGAGAGCAUAGCUGAUUACAACAUGGUUUACUGAAUAUUUUCAGCCUACUGUCGAUACCCACUGCUCAGCAAAAAGAGAUUCCUUUCAAAAUAUUGCUGCUCAUUGACAAUGCACCUGGUCACUCAAGAGCCCUGGUGGAGAUGUACAAUGAGAUUAAUGUCGUUUUUAUGCCUGCUAACACAUCAUCCAUUCUGCAUCCUGUCAGUUAAGGAGCAAUUUCGACUUUCAAUUUUUAUUAUUUAACACGUACAUUUUGUAAGACAAUACCUACCAUAGAUAGUGUUUUCUUUGACGUUUUGGGCAAAGUAAAUUGAAAACCUUCUGGAAUGGAUUCACCAUUCCAGAUGUCAUUAAGAACAUUCAUGAUUCAUGGGAAGAGGUCAGAGUAUCAACAUUAACAAGAGUUUGGAGGACAUAGAUUCCAGCCCUCAUGGAUGACUUUGAGAGUUUCAAGACGUCAGUGGAGGAGGUAACUCCAAAUGUGGAAAUUGGAAGAGAACGAAAAACUAGGAGUGGAGCCCAAAGAUGUGACUGAAUUGCUGCAAUCUCAUAAUAAGACUUUAAUGGGUGAGGAGAUGCUUCUUAUGGAUGAACUAAGAAAGUGAUUUCUUGAGAUGGAGUCUACACCCAUUAAAGAUGCUUUUGAAUAUUGUCCAAAUGACAAGAAAGGAUUCAGACUCUUACACAAACUUAGUUGAUAAAGUAGCGGAAGGGUUCGAGAGGACUGACUCCAAUUUUAAAGUUCCACUGUGGGUAAAAUGCUACCAAACAGCAUUGCAUGUUACAGCAAAGUUGUUCGUGAAAGGAUCAAUUGAUGUGGCAGACUUCAUUGCUGUCUUAUUUUAAGAAAUUGCCAUAGCCACCCCAACCUUUAGCAACCACCACCCUCAUCAGUCAGCAGCCAUCAACAUCAAGGCAGUAUCCUCCACAAACAGAAAGAUAACUUCUCACUGAAGGCUCAGAUGACAGUAUUUUCUAGUUAAGAUACUACAGAGUCCAGAAAAUAGAACAUCUUUAAAGUGCUGAAG